UUCCUUGCCAUGGGGAAAUGUUUGCUCUUCCCUAUCAUCUGACAACUCUUGACUGUUUUCAUGAUCUUUGUUUGUUCAGGAAAGAUCUGUGUCAACAAAGUACCAACAUCAUUUUGACUGCAAGCAGCACAUAAUUGGGAAGGUGUUUCCAAUGGAGGAGAGGGAGCAAUUUUUAUUUUUUGUUAUAUUUUAUAUUUUUAUUUUUUGCUGAAUAUUGGACAGGUUUCUACAGAUACCUUGCAAUGAGCUUGCUACAGUUCUCUUUUAGGCCUUAUGCAAAACUUUACUGCUCCAUUUAGCAGGCAAAACUGCUGCUACAUUGGAAGACUGAUUGCCUCUUGGUGCCACUCUGACAGUCAUUAGGCCUACAUCAAAUAUUCAGCCUAGUUUUUUGGGUGGAGCAAUUCUGGAAGAUUCAUCCCAGCUGUCUCUCACAUCAGGUGGCAAAAGAAACUUUAAAAGAGUGGCUGGGAAGCUAGAUAUCUUCCCUGCUGUGCUGUGUAUGGUUGCUGCCUCCUUGCUAAGGGAGAAGAUGUUGCACCAUGGAGCUGCAGAAUGGAUUGGUAUUGAAAUUGACUGAGAAAUAAACUUAAAGAAUGCACAGCUCAUGGUGAGAGACGCCAUCACAUAUGUUCAGAGGCCGAUGAACUGCAAA
Molecule: long non-coding RNA, 655 nt
Filed under: Anas platyrhynchos platyrhynchos (common mallard)
Lineage: Eukaryota; Metazoa; Chordata; Aves; Anseriformes; Anatidae
Description: lncRNA (ENSAPLG00000027412.1)
Source: RNAcentral